This 2067-nucleotide long non-coding RNA is filed under the name Ananas comosus (pineapple). RNAcentral's name for it is "long non-coding RNA (ACOM_LNC008754)". The record is from RNAcentral. Lineage: Eukaryota; Viridiplantae; Streptophyta; Magnoliopsida; Poales; Bromeliaceae.
CCCUUUUUUUUCCUUCAAUUCGUCCCGAUCAAUUAAAAAUCCACCAAAAAUCUACUCCCGUCCCGAUCUGCCUCGGAUGGGGUGGUAAAUAUGAGCCAAAAAUAAAAUGAAAAAUAACCUGUCCCGAAAAGAAAUGGAAUGGGAGGUGGAAGAACCCUCCCACCCCUGAUCCUCCUCGUUUGCUUCCCUAUAUAUCCAUCUAUAAACUCCUAUGAAAACCCAUAUCCUUUUGUCCACGUGGCGAUAUCUAUAAACUCCUAUAAAAACCUAUAUCUUUUUGCUCACGUGGCGAUAUUAGCUUAAUUUGAUCUUUUGUGGGGCCUACCCGUCAUCUUAAAUUACCAUACUUAAUUGUUAUUUGUGUGGGCAUAUCAGUCAUCCUAAUUUACAUGGCCCAUAAGGCCCACUUGGCUUUUUUUUUUCUCAUCUUCUUCCAAUUUAAUUCAACAUGGGCCCUCAUGGCAAUUUUUUUUCUUCAUCUUUUUCCCAUUUAAUUCAGCCGGUUCCCAUUUAAUUGGUUUAAGUAACCGGUUCAUCUUUCAACCGGUUACGAUUAAACCCAUUACAUCUUCAACCCUAGCAUGUUCGCUACCUCCUAGAUGCCGCUCGCCCCCUAGAUGCCUCUCCGACUCCUGAUGUAUACAUCCUCCCUGGACGAAAAAUUAGGCUGAAUUCACUAUCGAUCCUUCUUCCCAUUGCGCUGUUUUUGAUAACGAUGCUUCAUUCCUACCGAUUGAUCCCUCUCCGAUCGCAAAAAUGGUUCAGAUUCAUUAUGUACGGUCUCUCCGACUUGUCGGAUAUCUAUAUUUGUUGAAUGCGAAGGGUUGUUUUAUGUUGAAUGUUGUCUCUAUAAAAUUUUUAUUUGCAGCAAAAAAUCUCUAUUUCUCUGUUGGUGCUCUUUUCUUCUCUGAUUUGAUUUUCAUCUUUUAUUUUUGUUUGAAUUUCAAUUUGGCUGUUAUUAUUUUUUAAAAAAAAAUAUUGAGUAAUUUUACUUUGUCUCAAAAAUUACCUCUAUCGAUAGCAUCAAGUUUUCCACCGUUAGAUUUAACCCUUUAACUAUUUUCACCCGUUAAAUUAUAUUAUUAAACCAAUAACUCAUUUAACUCUAGGGGGCCCACAUCAUCAUAACCGUACAUUUUUUUCAUCUAAGGGCUGAAAACCUAAUAGCACCAAUAGGUUGGUGCUAUUGAUAGUAUUCCAGUCUAUAUAUAUAUAUAUAUAUAGAGAGAGAGAGAGAGAGAGAGAGAGAGAAAGAGAGAGAGAGAGAGAGUUGAGCUAGAAUACUCUCAAAAGCACCAAGGGAGUNAAAUAUUUUUCUAAUUUAUUAAUAAUUAUAUCAAGUUUUUAAGAAUUUUUAAUUAAUUUUAGCAUGCAAAAUUAAAAUAGUUAAACUAAUAGUUGAUAAAAUAUCUACUCAAUUUAACAAAAUUUUUAACUAAUUUUACUACAACAAUUCCAAUAAAAAAUUAUAAACUAGGAAGUUUUAAUAAAAAAUAAAAGUUAACAUUUAUUUCAAAAUAGUCCGUAAAUAUUAGGGGGUAUCUUCAGACGUCUUUAUGCAAGCAAUACUAUUGCCUAAAUUUAAUUUAUUAUAUAAUCCGUAGAUAGGGAUGCAAAUGGAUCCGGAUUGGUGGAGCUCCCACCUCGAUCCAUUCUGAAUCGGUUGAUAAGUUGUAACAAAAAAAUAUAGAAAAAUAUAAUUCACUCCGAAUCUAUCCCGAUCCGCUAAGUAAAUGGAGCGGAAGGCGGGAGACCCUUUUCUUCCUUCAAUUCGCCCCGAUCAAUUAAAAAUCCACCAAAAAUCCGCUCCCGUCCCGAUCUGCCCCGGAUGGGAUGGUAAAUAGGAGCCAAAAAUAAAAUGAAAAAUAACCUGUCCCGAAAAGAAAUGGAGUGGGAGGUAGAAGAACCCUCCCGCCCCUGAUCUGCCUCGUUUGCUUCCCUAUCCAUCUAUAAACUCCUAUGAAAACCCAUAUCCUUUUGUCCAUGUGGCAAUAUCUAUAAACUCCUACAAAAACCUAUAUCUUUUUGCUCACGUGGCGAUAUUAGCUUAAUUUGAUCUUUUGUGGG